Molecule: long non-coding RNA, 1286 nt
Organism: Micropterus salmoides (largemouth bass)
Lineage: Eukaryota; Metazoa; Chordata; Actinopteri; Centrarchiformes; Centrarchidae
Exons: 3
Source: RefSeq, a predicted model, not a curated record
ACGUUCCUCCCGUCGGUCUGUCUCCUGGCCACAAUUAGUUUUCUACACUACCACAGGAACAUCUUUCACUCUUGUAUAGUCUACGUACUAUAUCAAAAAAAACUAUCUUGUUCAGAUUUACAGGAGGAAUUGAUAAAAAGAGACAUCAAGGGGAAUACAUCAGGACAAACUAGAUUAUUUGCAUUUCUUGAAGGAAAUAUGUGUGAUUGCUAGAUAUGCUGCUGCUGCAGAAGAAGAAUUAUUUGAAAUAAAGAGCUAAGAUAACUAAAGUCUUACAAUAAGUCUGAAAUUAAGAGUGAAGCAAACUACACUACAUCUCCAGCCCACUGUACCACUUACACAAACAUACAAGUAAUAAGUGUUUAAAUGCAAUUUAUUUUCUGUUUCUGCAGCUUGAACCUGUGUUCCAAAGGACAUUCCCUUCCUCCUUUAAGUCCUUGGAUGUGGUGUCAUUCAGAAAUGGCUCAAUCAUCAGCGAAAUGAACGUUCUCUUUGCAAGCACAUUUGUUCCUAAUAACACUCAGAUUUCGAGCGCUUUGAUCAGUGCUGCUUCAGUCGUCACCGGCUUUGACAUUGAAGGCAGUUCCAUCAACGUGAACGGCACACCAUCAAGUGGAGUAAGCCACAAGAUCAGUUUCAUUACCGCAUCCUGCCUGGUACUGUUGUCCUGGAUUUUCUCAAGCCAGCAAUAGCUUCAGUGCUGAAUUCCAUUUCAUUGCUAUCAGAACAUGAAUGCCAUCACUGGUAUGAAAAGGGACUUUGUUGUUAAUAGUCCAAGAUUCAAUAUUGGUUUUGGUCUUUGGUCUUGUAUGGCUUCGGAUGACCUUACAAUCAAAUGUACCUUUCCCUGACCGGAACUAUUAAUGACUAUGAAUUAGGUUUGUCUGUCGAACACUUUAAGCACCCGGUCCACUGAAUUGUGAUAAAAUAAAAAGCUCAACCAAAUAACAGUAUUUAUUAAGCCCUGGGAUGUCAAUUAUUAUUUGCAAUAUUUUACUAUUUAUGUCAAAUGUAUAUAUAUAGUACAUGCAUUUUGGUUCUCUGGGCACUGUACUAUAAAAAUAUUUAACUUUGUGUAAAAAUCACUCUCACCAUUGCUUGAAUGUAGUUUCCAAAAGCAUGUAAAAUUCAUGUUUAGGUUUCACUUGCUAACCUAGCUGCAUGACAUACUAGCAUAACAUAGCAGCACGAACAUAGCAACAUAACAUAGGAUAACAACACAACAUGGUCAUUGUAUAAAUUAUAUAUAUGUAUAAACAACGCUUUGUCAAUUUUUUAUUUAUGCA